Desulfococcus multivorans DSM 2059 is the source of this 74-nucleotide regulatory RNA element. It matches the Rfam family "c-di-GMP-I-GGC riboswitch aptamer". The record is from Rfam. NCBI's taxonomy places the organism in Bacteria, Pseudomonadati, Thermodesulfobacteriota, Desulfobacteria, Desulfobacterales, Desulfococcaceae.
AUUGAUAAUGCCAAACCUGCCGUGAGACAGGGACGGAAAGCCACGGGUCUGAACAGACAGCCGGGUUGCCCAAG